AGAAGGUCCACUACGCAACUUUGCCAUAAAGACAUAGCCAAAUCCUCCUUCACCUAACUUCUCUUUGAAACCUGCAGCCAUCUUCUUGAUUUCCUUGUAUGAAUAUCUAAUAGGUGCCAAGCUAUUUUGUUCAAGGUAACUUUCAAUAUUUUCAUACAUUGACAUAUUUCUUUUUCUCCAUUUACAUAUAAAAAUACCAAUUAAGAAUGGUAAUCCAAACAAAACUUUGUAAGCCCAUACCAUAAGAAUAAUUUGUGUGAGAUAUCCUGCAAGAAAUUUUUACUUGGGUGAUUACACUGGUAUUGUAAAAUGAAAUAAAUUAUUUGUUAAAAUAUUUUUUGGUUCACAAAAUCCAAACUUUACACAUCCAUAGUAACAUUACACAAAAGAGUAAAUUUAAUGUCUAUCACAAACAAUUAUCAAUAAAUUUCAUUUUUGACAUUGCUAUCUAUAAAAUUUUAUGUAACAUUAAUAUUUCCUAAGACCUAAUUGAGAUGGUUGUAAAAAAAUACAAAUAGUUUUUUUAAAAUAAUUUCUUUAGUUUCUAUAAACUUUUUAAAUUCAAUUUGUGUUCCUCUAACUUCUUUAACAUAUUGAAAAUUACAAUUUUUUUUAUCUCUAAGGUAAUUAACAUUUAAUAUCGAUUAUAAACCUUUAUUUAUAUCACUUUCACUCUUAAAAUUUUGAAUUUUUAAAUUAGAUGAAGAAAAUAUUACAAACUUUUGAACAAAUUAAUAUUGAAUUUUUAAAAUGUGGAGAAUAUAACUAAAACAUAGGUAAAUUAAGAUGAUAAAAUAUCAAUUAGAAUAUGUUCAUCUCACUAACUAGACAAAAAAGACUUUGCAUUUGAACCUUUUAUAAAGGUUGUGUUCGAUUAGUAUAAAUCACAAUGUAAUCUACUUACAUUUUAUAAUGUGGUCUUAUUUUAGUUGAUGUUUCUAAUACACAUCCCUCGCGCCGAGGACAGUAUGUGUUCACAUCAAAGACAUUAAGCAUGGGAAUCAAGAGAAGCUUAAUAACGGGUAACAUGAUAGGCUCAAAUCUCGACUAGAAUAAACUCUUAGUAACUUUGAUGUCAUAUAAGGAUAAUGAGUUUAAGUUUAACUUCAACUCACAAAGUUGGUUUAAUAAGGUGAGGUUUACCACCACUUAUAUACUAUAAUUUGGUCUUAUCUUUAUUCAAUGUGGGAUCUUCAACAAUGUGGUUAAAAUUUAUUAUCAAAUGUCCAAAACAAUGCUUAAAACAUAAUCAUCGUUGAAAAUAGCAAAUGAUGAUGGUUACAAUGUAUAAUUAUCAUCACGUGUCUUUUAAUAUAUAGAAAUCAUGCCAACACAAAUAGUGUCAUUUUGUAACUUUUAAUGUUUUCUUCUUCUCCAUUGUAUUGCUCCCACCAUCGCCACUCCUUUGCAUUUGACCUAGUAACAAAAUUUUAUUUUUAUGUCUUUUACAAUUAGAUAUUUGCUUUCGCUAAGUUUUUCUCAUGUACGAAUGAUGGAGAAAGAGAAUGUCUAGAGCUAGGGAACAAAAAGGAAAGCGAGACCUCAUAUUUCUUCACACAUUUUUCUUUAAACUCUAACGAGUAUGAUAUGUGGAAAAUCUUCCAAAGUCGGGGAAAAGUUACUGGAACGUUUAUAACUAGGAAACUAAAUGGGAGAAGACAAAGAUAUUACUUGGUGAGAUUUGUAGAGGUUGUCAAUGAAGUAGAAAUAGAAAAAAAGUAGAUGCAAUUUGGAUAGCAAGCAUGAAAAAUCACGUUGGUUGACCAAAAUACAACAGGUUUGAAAAAAAUAACAACCAGAACAAGAAUGAAGGGAUAAACAUAGAGCAAAAAAUCGAAAGAACAACAAAAUAGGUGAAAAGGAUCAAUACUUUACUUAUGCACAAGCGGUAAAACGUGACACUAAGAAGGAAGGUAAAAAAGAUGCAAUGGAAGGAAUAUCGUUACAAGUGUAAGAGAAGGAGAAGAUGUGGAUAAAGAGAAGUUUUGAAGUUAGACUACAUGAUGCAAGUAAGAUGGAUCUGCUAAAUGAAAACUUUAUCCUAGGUGAGCUAUGAUUCAUCAUAAUAAGAUAUUUAAGGGAUAAUCAAGUGAAUCUCUCACCUGAUAAUGAAAUGAAUAUAUAUAAACAAUUGAGGAACACAAUGAAUGAUUUUCAAGCACGUUUGAGUCUUCUUGGUCAUCUCAAGAAACAUCGAGAAAUAAGAUCAUAUAGGUGCGGUGUAGAGGCAUACCAUUAUCCUUAUGGGGCAUCAAAUGCUUCAAAAGGAUUGUGGUUAUCAUUGGAAUGCUCAUCACAAUAAACAAAUGUUGUUGGGUCUUGGGAAGUGUUAAAGUAUGCGAGAUUGUAGGUAUGUUUAGCAAUUAGGAGUUUCACUAUGAUGUAUUGGAAAAUCAAAGUCAACGGUUCAAUUAUCAAGUGUCGUGGGAAGAUGAUCUCACUACAACAACAACCAAGAAGGAACACAAUUAAAAUAUUGGGGGAACAAACCUAUGGAAGACAAAUCAUCGUUAGCAACAAUAGGUGGGAUUAAAACAAAUUCAUUAGAGUCAGAAUGUUCGGAAAUUAAUUAUCUUGAUAUAGGAUAUACACUGGGUAAUGGGGAGCAAACCACAAUGGAGGUAUCAAACAUUAAAAGGUCGACCACCAAAGAGAGGGAUGAGAAGAUGACAGGGUCGUUGGUGGGUAAUUACCAAGGGGAGAUCAAAUUUUAUAUCGUCCUUACUUUCCUUUUUUUGCGUUGCGUGUGACAUUUUGACUUCCCUGACUUCUUCAUACCAUUUCUCUCAUUAUGAUUAAUAUUGUGAAGUACUUCCUCCUAUGAGUUCACCAUUUUUUUCCUUCAUUAUGCUUUAUUUCAAAACUUUUGAUUUUUGUACAUUUUCACUUUGACUACUCCAUGAAUUACUUGCCCAAUAAGGUUCUCAAGAAAUAAUUUUUGUUAGAUUUCCUUUCCCAAAUACCACACUUGUACAUUGGAACCCCCAAUGAUGAAUUUCUUCUUCCACUUAUACUUGAUAAACAAUAUCAUUGAUUUUUGUGUUUUUAUUAAUUUUUUCCUCACCGUGGGUUUAUUUAUAGUUAUCAAGGUGUCAAUGGUUGUCAUUACCUUUUUUAAAUAUUCUUGUCUAUACAAAGAUAAUAGUAUGUGUUGAACAUGCACUUUGAUGUCUCCAAAUCCAUGAAUAUUGGUUGAAGGCUUUGCUGCUGCUUGUGUGUGUGGGUUUUGGGUAGUUUGAAUUUGUAAUCCACUCAUAGAAUUGAUCACAAGUUGUUUGAUUUUAAUGUAUUUGAAAAAAAUGUGUUUUCAAAGAGAAGUGGAAAAACAACUAGUUGUUUUAUCGUUUCAACCGGUUGUUUUACACUUACAGUUUUUUGAAAGGAUUUGAAACUGUUUGACUUUGGUUGACUUUGCUGUCAAACCAAUUCAACCGGUUGUUUCAAAAAUUCAACCAAUUGAUCUUUGAAAAUCCUUAACAAAAUUCUGUUAAGUUGAUUUAAUCUGAUUUAAAUUAUUUUAAUUGAUUUUGGAUCUUUAAUUAAUUACUUUUAACAACUAGUUGGAGUAUAAAUAAGUGGUUAUACGCUCCUGGUUGUUAAGAUUUCAAAUUAACAGUUUCAAAUCAGUUUUCUAAGAUUGCUUCAAGUUUUGGAUACUUUCUAAGAGUGGAAUAUGAUUGUGCUGUAAUUAAGAUUGCUUUGAUAUUUGAUAAUUAUCAGGUGUUUUCCAUUCUCUUUCAUUUGACUUGUAUUUCUGUAAAGUACUGUGUUGCAUAGAGUCAGAGGGUGUUCUGAUUUGUGGUGUGUUGUAAUUGCCAAAGGAAGUGUGUGUUCUUGAGGGGUUCAAGAUCACUUCUUUGGUGUGUGUGGUUUGUAAUAUGUGGUUGAUUACAUAUGGAAUACUUAGUGAUUUCUAGGGACUGGAUGUAGCUCUUAGCUUUUAGUUUUAAGUUUUUUUAUAAACUGCUGAUAAAAACAACUGAAUGAAUCGCAUAAACAACCGGUUGAUUUUAUGGAAAUCAACUAAAACAAUUUUGUAACUUAUGCAUUUUCAUUCCUUUGGCUUUGAUUUUUCAUUGGCUUUCUUCAUACCUUUAAAGUUUGCGAAAAACGUUUAAAAACAUUUCACUCCCCUUGUUUUAGGCCUACAAUUCUAACCAUAUGCCCUUAGACCUAACCAAAACAACCUUGUUUUCUAAGAUAACCUGGUUUAAUUAUGGAAUCACUUAUUCAAACAACAUUUAUAGUCGUUUGCUAUCUUGCUCUAUCGCCUUACUUACUUUGCUAUCCCAUAAAUUAUGCACUCUGAUGAAUUUCAAGCCAUCUAGAAAGAAAUUUUCUUUUAGCGUAUCCACCUUAUUAUUGUCAUGCAACCUUCUGAUAAAAGCUUUUCUUUAACCAUUAUUUUUGUUGGUGUUGAGGGAAUAAAACAGAGCAAGAUAUUUGUUAACAGAGAAUAUAAAUUUUAUUUCAUUGCUACUUUUCAAAUAAGAAUACAAUCUCUCUAAAUAGUCUUACAAUAGACUUCUCAAAUUCUACCUUCUCUAUCAUAAAACCUAUACUAUAAUUUACAUUUAAAUCAUAGUAUAAAUGACAUUUAAAACUAGAAUUAAAGAUAAUAAUUAUUAGCUAUUCAAAUGCUAAAAUAAAACUGAUGAAGGCUGACGGCUUUGAGUUUAAUGCUAACAAAUUCCCCCUUAAACUCAAACCUUUCAUAUUUUUCAUUCAGAUUGUUAUCGCUCACACUUCUAAUUUUAUAUUUUUCCUUACCCCAACUGCCUCCAAUAUUAUAUUUUUCUAGUAGUCACCAUAUUGUCCUUGAUUAGAAGCAACUUCAAUUUUCUUCAUUGCACCAAUCCGUGCAGAAUUUUGAAUUGAAUUACUUUUAAUUUUCCAAACAAAAUCUUCUCCACUUUCACCCUUUGAAUUAAAAGGAUUUAAGAAAGACUUUGACUUCAAUGAGCUUUGAAGAUAAUGAUUAUACCAUAUUUCCCUUUCAGAUGAUGUCUCAACACCAUUCCAUUUAUGGUCUUCUCCUAAAUCAAAACCACUAUUUUCAAGUAAAACACAUGAACCAAAAGGGGAUUUGAAUUUGAAUUGUAAUUCACUCACCUUUUCUUUUUGUGCCAAAAGCAACAAAUGAAGUUUUUCAACUUGAUUGACUCUACUUUCCUUGUCUUUCUCCAUAUCAACAUAUUUUUCUUCCAAUUUUGUAAACCUUUUUUCCAGGUUAUCAAAUUUUGCUUCAACACUCUCCAAUAAUUGUCUCAUACUGAGAAUAUUACUCUUCAAGUCAGGUACAUAAAUUUUUGUGACAUUUUCUUUGGAUUUAAAGGCCAUGUGCUCCUCCUCCAUUGGAUUGAGAACAAAACUUUUUCCCUUCAUUUCAACUUUAAACAAAUCUCUGCCAUCAACAUCUUUAAUUAAGCAAUGUUUAUUUCCAAACAUCACAUUAUAGCCUUUUUCCAACAAUUGACCAACACUCAAAAGAUUUUGAUCAAUCUCUGGCACAAAAAGAACAUUUGUAAUGAUUUUUAUACCCUUAUAGCUUGUGAUAGCUAUUGUGCCUUUUCCUUUUACUGCAAGAUGUUCACCAUUUCCAAUCCUCACCCUUUUAAUAUCAGUAGUUCUCAAUUCCUUGAAGAGUUCCUUGUCAUGUGUCAUGUGGUUGGUGCAGCCACUGUCAAUUAGCCAAGAUGCACUUGAAAUAUUGCUGCAAAAACCAGUUGCAACAAAAAGUACAUCCUCCUCCUCCUUUGCAAUUUGAGCAUCUACAUCUUGUUGCUCACUUUGGUUUCUACAAAUGAUUGCUCCAUGCCCAAGUUGAUUGCACUUGUUGCACUUAGCAUUAGGUCUUCUCCAACACUUAAACAGCUGAUGACCUAACUUGUUGCAAUGCUUACAAGGAAGAUAAUUUCUACCUUUGUUUCUCCAGCCACCUUCAUGUUUGACUAGUAAGGCUCCUUCUACUGCUCCAUCUUGUCUCAUGGUUCUCCUUUGUUCUUGUGCUUGUAAAGCAUUUAAGAGCUUUGCAAGAGAAAUCUUUGAUAGGUCAUUUGUGUUCUCCAGGGUUGUUAUGGUGGCUUCAAACCUCUCUGGAACUGUUACAAGCAGUUUUUCCACAAUUCUUGAAUCUUUUAACACAGAUCCAAGCAACCUCACUUUGUUGGCAAUGCUUAGAAGUUUGUCCGGGUACUCUUUUACGGAUUCCGACUCCUUCAUUCUCUGCAAUUCAAACUCUCUGAUUAGAUUCAGGGUUUGCAUUCCAGGAAUCCUCUCAUCACCUUCAUAUUCUGCCUUGAGGUAAUCCCAGAUUUCUUUUGCUAACUUCAAGGACAUUAUCCUUGUGAAUACCACAGGAGAUACAGCUGCAAAUAGACAUGCUUUUGCCUUUGAUUUCUUCAUCUUUUUUCCUUCUGUGAUUUUAUUUGUGCCACCAUAGGGUUUCCUGGAAGGGACUGAAUUUCAUAGUCCUCUUCUACAGCUUCCCAUAAAUCCAAUGCUUCUAGGUAGGUCUCCAUACGAACAACCCACAUUUGAUAAUUGUCUCCAUCAAAGACAGGUGGUGCCAUUGCUGAAAAAUUUGAUCCUCCUUCCAUUGGUGCACUCUACUAACCUCACAAUCCCUCAAGAAAAUAGCUCUGAUACCACUUGUUGGUGUUGAGGGAAUAAAACAGAGCAAGAUAUUUGUGAACAGAGAAUAUAAAUUUUAUUUCAAUGCUACUUUUCAAAUAAGAAUACAAUCUCUCUAAAUAGUCUUACAAUAGACUUCUCCAAUUCUACCUUCUCUAUCAUACAACCUAUACUAUAAUUUACAUUUAAAUCAUAGUAUAAAUGACAUUUAAAACUAGAAUUAAAGAUAAUAAUUAUUGGCUAUUCAAAUGCUAAAAUAAAACUGAUGAAGACUAACGGCUUUGAGUUUAAUGCUAACAAUUUCUCUUACUCAUUCACUAAAAACUGUUUCGCUUCCAUCUACCUGUAUUAGUGUUCAUAUUGUUUUACAAUCUCACUUAUGCUCGUGACUAAUCCUGAACUUUCCUCCUUUACAUCACAAUUCCCAUUAUUUUGCUUUUUGAAUUAGUUCCUUCGAGCUUACUUCACUUGAACACCAUUUCUUUGUUCCUUCAAUAUUUGGCUUGUUCACGUGUGUUUUUCUAAUACCAAUCCACAUAUUAUCCAAUUUAUCCCUAACUCCACUGCAUUUACCAUUCCAAGAAACAUCCAAACCCAAUUCUUUGCACUCUCCCAUUUACUUUUUGCAUAUAAAUACCUCUUGCAUUCUCCCCCACCUUCGGAAGAUUUUCUACAUAACAUACUCAUCGUAGUUUACCGGAAAGUGAGAAAAAAAAAAAAGAAUGGUGUGGAGUCUUUCUAUGCUCAUGUGUUUUGCGCCCUUUUGUCUUUGUUGUUGAUAGUUUUCAUACUCAACUCAUUGGUAGCUCCUCUUUCUAUUUUGAAUCUGAUUCCUUUUUAUUUAAUGGGGUACCUAGUGUGAUAACUUUUUGGGAGAUGUUCAAAACAUUAAAGUUGAGGGGAUCCUCUUUCAAGAUUUUCUACUUAGUGAUGCAAAUCAAGUGUGUUUUGAUAAUUUGAUUUUUUUUUUUAUCUUAAAGUGUGUUUAAUAAUUUAUAUCAUUACAAGAAAAUUAUUAAAUAGAAACUAAUUUUAGAAACUAAAAAUAAUUAGUUGCUAUGGUGACUAAAUUAGAGAUCAUUUUAGAAAUUAAAAAAAAUUGGUUUCUAAAUUAGUUUCUAUUAUUGUUAAAUGGUUUCUAAAUUGGUAUAUAAUUAGCAACUAAGGUUUUUGCUACCAAAUUUAGAAUAUAAAUAAUUGGUAGUUAAAACAUUGGUAGCUAAUUAGAUACUAAUUUAGAAACUAUUUAAAAAUAAUAGAAACUAAUUUAGAAACCAAAAAUUUUUUUAGUCUCUAAAAUGAUCUCUAAUUUAGUCACUAUAACAACUAAUUAUUUUUUGUCUCUAAAAUUGGUUUCUAUUUCAUGAUUUUUUUGUAGUGUAUAUUCAUUGACAAUAUUUUGGACUUUAAUUAUGCAAUUACAUAAAUUAUAUAUUGAUUCAAAAUGAUGUCAAACUAUUUCUUAUAAUUAUGUUUGCGAUGUAAUAUGAAGUAAGAUAAUUUGUAAAUAAUUGUGUUUAUGAAGGAUUUGUUAGGAAUUAGAUUGAAUGCAAGUUAAAGUUAUAAUCAAAACUUGGGAUGACAGCGAGGUAAGGUGAGUGCAAGUUUGACUAUACACAUCCACAUUCCCGAAAUAAAAAGUUAUUCUCAUCCUCGUCUCAUCCCAUUAGGUAUAAUUUUUUUUGUCUCAUUCUCAUCCUCAUUAGGUAAUGGGUGUAUCCAUAUCCACGCUCAUACUCGUUCUCACACUCUCCCAAAUAUUAAAUAAAUAAUGUUCUUACAAAACAAGAAAAAAAAUCACAAUAAAUAAAAUAUGUUAUCAAAUAACAAUUACAUGUAAUAGAAAUUUCAUAACAAUUUCAAUAUAUUGUUUUGAAAAUAUUGAGGGGGAAAAUACCUCAGAGAUUUGAGUGAAUUUGGUAAAUAUUAAACAUGGUGAAUUGUUGAAAGAGAGAAUGAAAUUUUGUGUAAAAAAAAAAAAAGUUCUUGAAAUGAAACAAAAUUAAGAAACAAGAAAAAAAGAAAAAUAUUUUUUUUAGGUUACCUAAUAAACUAAGAGUUUACAAAAUUUAAUUCAAUAAAAUUGAGGUUUACGUUUCCUAAAAUGUAAUUUAUCAUUUGAAGAAAAUUACUUAAAAUGUAAUUUAUCAUUUGAAGAAAAUUACUAGAAAAAAAAUGUGUAAUUGAGAAUAUAAUUAAAGAGAAAAUACUUUAAGAUAUGAGUGAGCUUGAUAGAUAUUAAAUAGUUAAACAAUUGGGAGAGUAUGUAAAAUAAGAGUUUUUCAAAUGGAAUGAUAAAAAAAAACAUGGAUGAGAAUAACAAAAAUAAGUUUUCUAUUCCAUACCCAAUUUAAAAUAUUAAAUAUUAUGAUGCUCAAAGUUUAUUUAUAACCCAUAAUUAAAACAAAACAAAUAUUAUAAAAGUUAUACAUACAACAAAUUUUUUUACUAUAAUUAUCAUAUAUUACUUUCACCAAUUAUUCAUAUCAUAACCAAUCAUUGAAAGGGUUGAAAAUUUUGAAAAUAAGUGGGUUUGGAAGGGGAAAAAAUGGUUUAGGGAGCAUAUUUUGUGGAAGGUUGGGUAGGGUAAUAUGAUCUUAUUUUUGAAUGAUACUUGGAUAGGGGAUAAGCCUUUAAGGAAGAAAUAUCCUAGAAUAUAUAGUAUUUUAAAACAAAAAAGAAAACUUAUAAUAAAGGAGUUUGGAUAACAUACCAUUGGACUUGGAAACUUAUAGGUAGAGGAGGGAUUGGUUUGAGUGAAAAAAACUAAUGGUCAACGAAUUAGUACAUAUUAUUCAGGAUAUUACAAUACAUAAAGAUCAACUAGAUGAGUGGGAGUGGAAGGAAGAUAGAACUUGUUGGUAUUCUAUGCAAUCUGCCUACAGGUUAAUACAUAGUUUUCCCUUAUAGGAGAAUGAUGUAAAUUUUAAUUAUCUGUGGAAAGUUAAGGCCUUACCCCAACCUUAUCUUUUGUUUAGAGGGUAUUCUUGAAUAAAAUUUCUACAAUACAUAACUUGCUCAAAAGAGGUAUCCAACUACAGAGAACUUUGUGUGCUAUCUGUAAUAGUUUAGAAGAAACCUAUCCUGUUUACAUGUAGAAUUACAAAUCAAAUUUGGAACAUGUGUGAUGUGUGGUUAGGGAGAAUGAUGAUACAUCAUUGUAAUGCUAAACAACACUUUUUAGGUUUUCAUCAUGGGGGUUUAAAUAGAAAGGGUAAUCAAAUUUGGAAAGUUGCGUGGAUAGAUCCAAUGUGGACUUGUGGAUACAUAGAAAUAAUGUUAUAUUUAAAAAUCUUAAACCAAAUGACAUAGAAAUCUAUUCUAUAGUACAUGUUAAAUAGUGAAUUUAGGAUUUAGGAUUUGUGUGAAUAACGAAGAAGUACACUAAGAUCAUAAAAUCUUUACGUAUCCGUGUGGCUAAUCUUAUUAAGCUACAUAGCCUAGAUCCUUCAAUGUAGUUCUAUGUAGGAAAAGUUUAACUUUUGUGCAUCCUUGGUUAUGUGUGUAUCUGUGCAACAAAAGCUUAGUGGAGUACAAAUCAGUGCUCUAUGGAUUACAAACAUAAUGGAACCUAGAAUAUAAUCCUGGACAAUUGUUGAGCAAAUUAUUAUACUCUGUAAUAAAUUAUGCAGCCAUUAUUUCAACUCAUAGAUUGAUACAAGGAAUAACGAGUAGUGCGAAUUUUACAUCUGUUUUUGUGUGCAGAGGGGCUACAAACUGGUUUAAAGUCUCCUCAUUUUAUAUAUUUUUUAUUAUUGAUAAAAAAAGUGGUUGAAAUGUUUUAAAAACAAAUUAAAAUUAAGAAAAAAAUACACUGACUGUAACUGGUCAAAUCUUUUAUUGUUUUAACAAUAUUUCUAUUAAUGAAAAUUUUAGAACUCCUAUUAAAAUUCUAUUUUAAUAAUUGUUAAAAGCUAUACUCCAGUUGUGUAAUUAAAGCAUUGAGAAAUUAAGAUGAUAAAAUCUUACCUGGUUCUAUUAUUCUCUCUAGCACUUCCAAUAUUGUAAGAAAACCCUCUGAAAUGAAGUAAAAUGUGACUUUAUAAUAGUCUCAACAGUUAUUCAAAAAAGAAUAUUUUCAGAUUUUGAUAAAGGUUAUAGCGGUCAAUAAGUUUAACAGUUAUUUAUUUUUAAUUUAAUGCUUACGUUCUUAUAAAUACAUGUAAAACAUAAAAAAUAAAAAAAAUACCAUUUUUUGUUCUAAAAGUUGAUUGAAUUAUUAUAAUGAUAUUUUGAAGAUAAUAAUAAUAUAUCUAAAAUGAAACAUAAAAUAUAGAUGACUGAAGCUUUGUUUUGAAAAAUUCUGAAAAAAGUGGUUAACAGAUGAUUAUUUGAAAAUAUAUAAUUAUGUAAAAUGUGUCUUAAUAUUUGGUUUAGGAUCACUCACCGCAUUGAAGCUUCUGGUUAGAAGAGUCGAAAUAGCAAUAGCUAUCAUCAUCUGGACAAAGAUUCUGACAGGCGAGUUUUAUCCAUGAAAUCUCGAAUCCAUAGGCGAGUGCGGUGUGCAUGGAAGAGUAGGAAUGGUAAUCGAAAGUGGAGAGAGAAGUGGGAGCAACAAGCUUUACCUCACACCCAACUUCUAAGUCCUCAGCUUUUAGGUCUCCACCAAUUGCAUAUGAAUACCCCUUCCCCUCCCACUUCACCCACUCUCCACUCUCCACAUACUUCCCUUUCUCUCUCACCCAAUCAUUACAAUUCACAAACACUAUAUGCGAGAAACUUCCUUAUUGGGAAAUGAGGAUAGAAAAAUUGUUUGUUUCCCAUAAAGUAAAGAAGGAAAGAAAGAUACAAAAGAAAAGAGAGGAAGAUGAAAGGGAAGCUAAAGAAAAAGAAAAACCAAGUGAGGGGUGGUGUGAAUCUAGAAAGAAUGAGGAAUAUCUUAUAACACCCCUUACAAGCAUAUUCAAAAUGGAAAAUCAAGAGAAAAUCCUUGGGAAACAAAAGGCGUGGGAAAAGAGUGUUCCUUCUCACAAAGUCAUUCAACAAGAAGUAAAAGUUGAAAAUACCUUUGAAAACAUGUUUCUUGUUGAACAACCUAGCCUUACCUUUUGUAAAGGAACACUUGCAAGCAUAGUGAAAAAAGAAGAAUCCUUAAAAGAGACUUGCAUAGAUAAAGAUGUAGUGGAUUAUUUCUCAUAUGUGCUAGGAUAUCACCAAGUGAAUGUCAAGUUAUCUAUAAGCAUCUACAAAAACAAAUUUUUAUGUGAGGUAGUGCCUAAAGAAACUUGUCAUGUCUUAUUGAGACAACCAUUGCAAAGUGUACAAAUUCUCAUAAACAAUGGUUGUAACAACGAGACUAUCUUUACACAUAAGAGAAAAAUUCUUCAUGAAGGAGAACUCAUGGGCCAAAUUAGAGUUGAUAAAACUCUAGAGCUUUUAAAAGGAAAACUUUUGUCCCCCAUGAGAAAAGAUGUUCAAAGACAUUACCCUAGAUACAUAUCUUGUUUUAAAACUACACCUAAGCCAAUGUCUCAUGAACUCUAUACUCCUUCACCUUUUGCAAAUGAUCCUUGGGAAGACACAAAUUUCAUAUUAGAGCUUCCUAGGACAACAAAAGGUUUUGAUUCCAUUUUCAUGGAUAUGGAUAAACUCUUCCUUAGAGAAGUGACAAAUCUUCAUGGUUUAUCAUCAAACAUAGUGUUGGCUAGAGCUCCAAAUUUUGAAAAUCAUCAUUUGAGGAUUCUCUUGGAAAAACUUGAAACUAAGUUAUACACUUUAAAUUCUUAUCAUCCUCAAAAGAAUGGUCAAAAUACAUUUGAAAACCUAGCUCUUUUUACUAUGCCUAAAGAAAUCAUGAAAGACAACCACAAUUCUUGGGAUGAGUAUCCUUUUCCUAAUAAGCAUGCAUACAAUGGAGUAGUCCACAAGACUACAAAUAUUUCUACAUUUGAAAUUGCAUGUGGACUUAAUCCUCUCUCGCUUUUUAAGUUGUUACCCUUUCCUAAAGGUAUUGUGCCUAAGGAAAAGGUAACCAAUAUUGAAAAUUUUCAAAUACAUAAGAGGAUUAGAGGACACAUAAAACCAUCAAAAGGAAAAUAUUGUGAAAAGUUGCCAAAAACAAAAGAAAAACAAAAAUGGCAACUUCAUACAAUUAAGUUCUCUCCAAUUGCUCACACUAACUCAUUUGCUUUGUUUCAAGAUUCCCAUAGAUGGACAUUUGAUCCGGGAGGACAAACCUUGACGAAGCAAGAGGCUGCUAUUCGAGAUCAAAUCUAUAGAUCUGGGGAUAUAUCUUCUCAAGAAGGAGGAGAUGAUGGACACCAUCCAGCCACAUCCAUCCCCCUAGAUGAAGAAAAAGCAUUGGAUUUGAGGAUAAAUCCUUUUCAAGAGGGAGGAGAUGAUGGAAGAGGCCCCAACACCAACCCUUUGAGAGGCCACCAAAAUGCUACCUUGAGGCAACCACUAGAGUCAUAGUCAAAGAGGGGUCAAGAGGACACAUUUUACAUGUCAUAGACUCUAGUGUGUCAUAGUUUUUCUUAUUUUCUAGUCAAAGUAGCAUAGUUUAAAUAUUUUUGUAAAUGUGUUGAAACAUGCAAAGUGGUACCUAAAAUGCUAACCUAAGUUUAAUUAGAGUUUCCUACUCCUAAUUAAACUUAGGUCCAUCCCACAAUUAGCCUAAGUGGAGCAUAAGGUUCUAGAACUCCUAGCACAUCUAAGAGGUUUUGUAGAUCAUCUAGCGGUUCUAGUGAAAUCGUUUAGCUACUCCUCUAACAAGACUAUAUAGCCUGUUUGCUAUGUUUUUUUUUUUUAUUUAUAUGUUUAUCUGUUGUAAUCUUAAGAGUGUGUGCAUCUCAUAUUCUGUUUUCCAGAAAUUUUGUUUUUCUUUUUUUUGUUUCUUGCUCUUGCGAGUUGCGCUUUUGUUUCAUUAAUCCGUGUGACUGUGUGUGUCAUGAAUUACCAUUUUUAAUAUGCUAGCAGAGUAGGUUGAAUGACCUGCUUUGCCUCCAAUGUUGUUUCAGUUCUUUUUCUUUCUUGUUGAAUAAUUGUUUUCUCUUGUAGACUAUUUUCUUCUUAUUGUCUUCUUCAUGUAUUUUUCUGAAACAGAAUACAGAAAGCAAGGUUUUGUUAUGAAUCUUUGCAAUAAUCCCGCAAGUUCAUAUUACUUGCAUCUUGGAGAAAAUUCUAGAACUGCGUUUAUCUCUCCUCAACUCAAUGGAGAAAAUCCCUUCACAUAAAGGGAAAAUUGUGGUAUUAAAGUUGACACCUCUCCUAAUUAAGUUUGAUGUUGUUGGUACUUAUCCCAUCAGAACCCUCCAAAAAAAGUUUUGAGCAUUCUAGAGUGCUCUGACAUUCUCAAAAAAAUUGAUUAAAGUAUUGUUAGCACUCACAUAGGUAUUUUUUAAUAUAGCAUAUGAUGACUUGAAAUAGAGAAUAACCUAGUAAUUUUUGUUUAAGGGUUACCUCUCCUAACCAUCCUUUCAAUAAGUGAUUGAUAGAUGUUAUUUAUUCACUUAUUUUUCUAAAUAUCCUUUCUGACGUUAUCGGUAAGUUCGAUAUUAAGCCUUUAAGGUUCGACCCGAGGCUUAGUAGGUUGUGUGGCGUUAUAGGUAAGUUUUGAUAUUAAGUCUCUAAGGCUCGGUCUGAGGCUAGUGGGAUGUAUGGCAUUAUAGGUAGAUUCUGAUCUAUAUAACGAUAAUUUGGAUUGAACGAGAGCCAAUCCUAGAAAAAUUCCUACGAUUAUAUAUUUUAUAGAUGAAUCCCAUUAAUGUCAUGUUUAAGAUAGUUUAAGGCAAGAAUAAAAUGUUAUAAAGGUAAUUUUGUCAUUUAAUAGUGAAUAAGGACUUAAAGUACGAUCAAAUACAAGAAAUGGGCGGAUCAAUAUAGCAUAAAAAGGAUAUACAAGGUAAAAAAAAAGGCAGAAUAAAAAUUGGGGUGAAUUGUUUUCACAAUAUUUUCGUAAUAUUGGAGUCAAUUAAUUGAUUGAUCAGUUCAACUAAUUAUAAAAAGCACAAUAAGUAUAUAUUCAAAAAUUAAACUAGUUGUUACGAGAAUUCAACCAAUUGAUUUAAACGCAAUAAGUAGAAAGUUAUUGAUAAAACAAAUAUCAGAGUAAGAGAGAGAUUGCACAGGAGAUUGCACAGGAGAUUUAUAUUUGUUCACUCUUACAUCCAUCAAGAGCUACAUCCAGUCCUCAGCAAAUUACUAAGAAUUCACUAAAGCAAACACACAAGGUUUACAAGAACACAAAACACUCUUAACCACAUACAAAAUUCAGAAACCCUAUCUGAAUCUGUUUACACCAAAUUGCAGUGAAAACAAUAAGAUUUGAAUACACCUCGAUUAUUACAAAUGAAGCACAAGAAAAAUGUAAACCCAGAAACCUUCUUUACCAAACAAGAAUGAUCCAAGAAGCAAACUCAAACUCCAAGAAUGAUUUUAAAACUUUCUAUUUUUUCUCUCUUAUGAAAAUCGUUUUUUGAAAUAAUCAGAUUACAUCCUUAUAUAAGGUAAUAAUGAUUGUAUAAGAAUUUUGAUCAUUUAAUGAAAACAAUUGUUUCAAUUAAAAAUGCAUUGAUUAAUAUAACAGAAUUAUGUUAAAAACAUUUAAUUGAUUUUCUUUAAAUAGAUGAAAUCAACAAAUUUUAAACCAGUUCUUUUAUCGAAAUAACUUAUUGAUUUCACUUAACAAAAAAGACAAACUAAAAGACAAAUCAUUUUUAAAUCCUUAAAAACCGUAAGUGUUUUAAACCGGAUUGAUACGAUAAAUCAAUAUGUUAAAAAUACUUACUAUAGUCAACAAACAUGAAUAGAAGUAAUUUCAACUUAUUAAUAUAUGAAUCAACUCAUUAAAAAAGACAGAUUUAGAAAACAAAACUUUUCAAGGAGAUUACUAUUCAAGUAACUUGGAUCAUUGUGUAAUGAAAAGUUAUAUAUAAAAAGCCAUGUUUGUUGAACUUUAAGCUCUAGAACGCAACAACACAUGGUAGAUGAUUUCUCUUCCACCGGGCACAAACCAAUCGGUUGUCGUUGGGUACAUAAAAUCAAGUAUAAUUUUGAUGGGACCAUUGAACGAUAUAAAGCUCGUUUGGUCGCCAAGGGCUUCACCCAGGUUGAAGGUAUAGACUAUAAGGAAACUUUUUCUCCUACUGCCAAGCUCACCACUAUUCGUUGUUUAUUAAUUGUUGCUUCCCGCAACUAGUAUACACAUCAACUUGAUGUGAACAAUUCAUUCAUUCAUGUGAAAUUACAAGAAGAGGUGUAUAUGACUCCAACUCCUGGUCUUCGCCCAUAGGGGGAGAAUCCGGUAUGUCUGCUUCACAAAUUAAUUUAUGGUUUAAAACAAGCAUCACGAAAUUGGUUCUCAACUUUUGCAACUACAGUUAAAUCUACUGGUUACAUACAAUCCAAGGCAGAUUAUUCACUUUUUACUAAAUCUCAAGGUAAAAAGUUUACUGUUAUUCUCAUUUACGUCGAUGACAUCCUUAAAAAAAUCUAUUUAAUGUAAAAUCAUUUGGAUUAAAGCUUACUAAAUAUUACUCUUUUGGUCAUGGAAAAGUUAUGCAAUCCAACACAUGAAAAAUAGAAAAGACAAGUAUUGUCUACACAAAAAUUGUAGAAUGUCAUCAUGCAUAUUCAGGUGGAAUGAGUUCAUGAUUCCGCAUUUGCAAACUUUGGAAAAAAAAAUAAAUUUAGUAACCCAUUUGUUCUAACUUUAUAGAUGUAAAAUAUUUAAUAGAGACAAAGAAGUGAAAAAUAUUAUAGAUGUACUUCUACUUAAAAUGACAAACAAGCUGAAUGUAAAACAAAUUUUUAUUAUACAUAACUAAAUAGUAUGCUUCACUAAAGGAUGAAUUGCAUGUAUACUUAUACUUUACAUGAAAUAAUUAGGAGAAGGAGUUCAAUUCAUUCGAUGUCGAGUUUAUUGUUUCACCAUCUCUACUCAAUUCAUCUAGAAAUAAAGCAGGCUUUGGAGGUAUUUCCAAGUCUUCAAUGUCUCCUUCAAGCAUUUCCACUACUCUAUUCAUUGAGGGUCGAUCGCUUGGUUUCAAUUGUAUGCACCAAAGAGACACUAUGAUCAUUUUCUUUGCUAUUAUCUUUUCCUCUUUAGUCAAAUAUUCCUUAUCUAUAUCUUCCUCAUCUUUGAUAUGAUCAUAGAUCCAAAGUGGAAAGUAAAGUUGACUUGAGUGGUCUACAUGGGGAUUUAGAUUCUUCCUCUUGCUCGCCAUCUCCAUCAAAAGCAUUCCAAAGCUAUAAACAUCAGCUUUAUGGGAUAUUCCUCCAAUAUUUUUGUAAAAUAGUUCUGGAGCCAUAUAUCCAAUGGUUCCUCUUGCUAUAGUCAUUGUGACGAUACUAUUAUCUAUUGGAUAUAACUUUGCCAAUCCAAAGUCAGAAACCUUAGGGAUAAAGUUUUCAUCUAGUAAGAUGUUAUGAGGUUUGAUGUCAAAAUGCAAAAUCUGCAUCUCACACCCAUGGUGGAGAUAAGCAAUCCCACGAGCCACUCCAAUUGAUAUAUUAUAUACAUUUUCAUAGCUUAAAUGUAUAUUUCUCUCUUUUGAGAAAAUAAAUUUAUCAAGAGAUCCAUUGGGCAUAAAUUCAUAAACAAGAGCACGCUUUGAGCCACUAACACAAAAUCCAAUUAACCGUACCACAUUUUGAUGAUGUAUUCUUCCAAUAGUCGCAACUUCAUUGAUAAAAUCUUGUCCAUUUGCUUUGGAUUUGCCUAACAUUUUGAUGGCCACAGAAGGCCCACUGCACAACUUUGCCUUAAAGACAUAGCCAAAUCCUCCUUCACCUAACUUCUCUUUGAAACCAGCAGACAUUUUCUUGAUUUCCUUAUAUGAAUAUCUAAUAGGUGCCAAGCUAUUUUGUUGAAGGUAAUUUUCAAUAUUUUCAUACAUUGAUGUAUGUCUUUUUCUCCAUUUACAUAUAAAAAUAACAAUUAAAAAUGGCAAUCCAAACAAAAGUUUGUAGACCCAUAAUAUAGAGAUAUACAUGAGAAUACCUGUAAUAAAUUUUUACUUUAGUGACACUUAUACUAUAAAAUGCAACAAGGUAUUUGUUAAAGUAAAUUUUCGUUCAUAAAGUCCAAACAUGACAUAUCUAUUUACUUGGUAACAUUACAAAAAGAGUAAAUUUAAUGUUUAGCAUAAACAAUUAUCAAUAAAUUUCUUUUUUUUAUGUUACUCUUUAUAUAAAUAAAUUUUUUCUGUAACAUUAAUGUGUCCUAAAACCUAAUUCAGUGAUGGUUGUAAAAUAUAAAAAAAAAACAGAUUUUUUUUAAAUAAUUUAUUUGUUUCUAUAAACAUUUUAAAUUCAAUUUGUGUUUCUUUAACUUUUUUAACGUAUUUACUAUAACUUUUUGUUAUUUACUACAACUUUUUGUCUUCUCUUAUUUCCUAACAUUAGUUCCUACAGGUUCGAUAUUCAUCAUUAAAAACAAAUUAUUACUUCUAAUUCGGUACACUUGCUGAAUUAAAGAGUAAUCAACUAUCCCAAAUAUUGAAUAAAUAACUUUCUUAAAGAGUAAAAAUCACAAUAUAAAAAAUGUUAUCAAAUAAAAAUUAGUCAUAAUAGAAAUUUCUUAACAGACUAUAAUCUAUUGUUUUGCAAAUGUUGAGAGGGAAAAUACCUCGAAGAUUUGAGUCUGGGAUAUUUGACAUGGUGAACCCUUAAAAGAUAAAGUGCAAUCUUGUGUAGUAUGAAAAGUUCUUGAAAUAAACUAAAUUAAAAAAUAAGAAAAAAUAAUAAAUUUUUAGAUUACUUAAUAAACUAAAGAUUUACAAAUUUAAUUUAAAAAAUUGAGGUUUACAAUGUAAUUCAUCAUUUGAAGAAAAUCAGAAAAGUGUGUAAUUAAGAUUAUUGUAUAGUAAAAGAAUAGUUUUUUUAAAAUGGAAUGAAUCAAAUGACUGACAAGAACAAUAAAAAUAAGUUUUAAUAGGUUGUUUAAUAAAUUAAAUAUAUUUCAGUAAUUUAAAAUGAAAACGGAUAAUUCAUAUCCAAUUUAAAAUAUUAGAUAUUAUUUACAAUUGUGCCCAAUCAAUACGGAAAUUAAAAUUUAUCUAUUAAAAAAAAAGUUAAACUUUCAACAAUAUUUUUUAGUAUAAUUGUUCUCAUAUAUUACUUUCACCAAACAGUUCAUAUUAUAACCAAUCAUUGAAAGGGUGAAAAUUUUAUAUUAUAACCAAUCAUUGAAAGGGUUGAAAAUUUUAAAACUAAAAUAGAAUUAAAAAUGACAGUUUAAUCUAAUAAAUUCUAAAUCUUAAAUCAUAAACUAUUGUAAAAAAUGCUUGGAAAUUUUUAAAAACAAAAUAAAAUUUUAAAAAAAAAACAGAGAAUUGUAUCUUGAACCGUAGCCAAAUCUUCUAUUUUUUAACAUUUCUGUAAAUGAAAAUUUUAGAACUAUUAAUAAAAGUCUAUUUUAAUCAUUUUUGUGUAAUUAAAGAAUUUAGAAAUUAAGAUGAUAAAAUUGUACCUGGUAUACAGAAUUUUAGCACUUCCAGCAGUGGCAGACUAAAUGAGCCUGAAAUGAAGGAAAAUAUGAAGUUUAGAAUAGUGGUGAUCUCUACAGUUUGAUAAAGGUUAUAGCGGUCAAUAAGUUUAACAGUUACUUAUUUUAAAGAAAAUAAAUGUUUAAUUUAAUGCAUAUGUUCUUAUAAAUACACGUAAAAUAUAAAAGAUACAAAAAUUGGUUUAAACUAAUUGUUUACAAGCUUUUCAGUUAAUUUAAAUGUAUAUUUAGAAGAUUUAAACUACAUGAGUAAGGAGCAUAAUAACGUGCUUAUCUAAAAAAAUUGGUUAAUAUAUUUUGGUUUAGGAUCACUCACCUUUGAUGCAUUGAAGCUUGUGGUUAGAAGAGUCGACAUAGCAAUCUCUAUCAUCAUCUGGACAAUGUUUCUGACAGACGAGUUGUAUCCAUGAAAUCUCGAAUCCAUAGGCGAGUGCGGUGUGAAUGGAAGAGUAGGAAUGGUUAUCGAAAGUGGAGAGAGAAGUGGGAGCAACAAGCUUUACCUCACACCCAACUUCUAAGUCCUCUGCUUUUAGGUCUCCACCAAUUGCAUAUGAAUACCCCUUCCCCUCCCACUUCACCCACUCUCCACUCUCCACAUACUUCUCUUUCUCUCUCACCGAAUGGUUACAAUUCACAAACACUAUAUGCGAGAAACUCAGAGAUUCCCAAUUUAUAGAGGCAUCUAGACCGGCUUGGUAUGGAUUCGAGUGGUAAAAGGAAGUGUAAGUGUCAGAGAAAUUGGAGCGAGAGAGGAAACGGAGAGGAAGGGAGGAGAGAUUAUGGUGCUGCAGAGCAGGAUCAACAACUCUCACUGUGUAGUUCUUGUAGUUUAUUGACUUCACAUGAUAUUGUCCAGAGUACAGAUACAACACCGUAAAGUUAUGCUCACAACCAAGUUCAUACCUUUCCUCACCACACUUUUCUGGGUCGCCUUUUAAUCGAAAUGGAUAACUGAUGUUGCUGAUUUUACCACAGGAAGAAGGGGGACAAACGUGUUCUUGGUGGUCCUUGGUAGCAGAAAUAUGGUGGAGUAGAAGUAGCAGUACCACCAACACUGCUCUCUCUCUCCACAUCAUGUCCAGACUGUUUCUCACUGAAUUCAAGUGCAAACAAAUCCAAGUUAGAUAUUUAUAUUUAAACAUCACACACUGAAUUUAUAGCUAUAAAGGACCACAUUUUUCCUUUUACAAAAUUGUUUGAAGACUUAUGAUACUUAAAACGUAGACUUUGACUCAGAAACCGCGUUAUCUUGUUUCCGCAACUCAUUUUAAUCCAUACAAAAUUUUAAAUAUUCGUGAAGUGCAUGAAUUUUGAUUUCGGUAUUUAAUCAUCUAAUUUUGUUGAUGGUGUUCUUUGAGUUUCUGAAACCAUCCUAAAUUGUUUGUUUUAAAAGCUUAUAUUUUGAAAAAUAAUUUUAAUGACCUUAGAAUUUCUGUGAGUCCCAAAAUAAUGUUUGUUUGGUUAAGAAACUUCAACAUGUGAUAGGUACAUAAAUUGUUUUAGUGAAUUUUUCCCCGAAAAUGGCCUCAUAUGUUUCUUUGUGUUAAUUUCUUGAACAUAUUCUUCUUGGACAUGGGAGCAAGAAAGAGUGUGUGGUGGGAGAACGAAGCACUAACAAUUUUCUGUAUGUGUAAAAGGUAAAGGAGAGGGAAAAACAUAUGGAAGCAAUUCCAAACACGUAACCCAAAAUUCCAGCAUACUUUUCAACUUGUGGCCUUGAAAACUCAAUAAUUAAAAGUGCGUUUCGAAGAAUUUGACGUAGAUCUCCAAAAUUAUAAUGUCGCAAAAAUGUAUAUGACCUUGUGGACUUUGACCUUGAUAAAGUUAAUAAAAGUGAACAACUCAGAGAUAAUUCUUGAUAGAAUUAAACACUUGAGUUACAUAGGAUGAGCCGUGAGAUCCUCACUCGGCUAAUUAGUAAUUGAAAGAAUAAAAAAUCAUUAAGCAAUUUUUUUUGGUAGAAAAGCUAGCAGGAAAUUUCUAAACCAUGUUUUCUGCAUGCAGGUAUCAAAACCCUCAAGUGCAUGUAGUUUCAUUUGAUGUGGUUGUCAUUAAUACUUCAUGAUCCUCUUCAUCUUGUUCGUGAUUACUAUCUUCUUGAGCACAAUUGGAAGCAUGAUUAUCACCUUUUGAUCUGCACUUAUUUGCAUAAUGGCCACGUUUAUGGCAAUUAUAACACUNNNNNNNNNNNNNNNNNNNNNNNNNNNNNNNNNNNNNNNNNNNNNNNNNNNNNNNNNNNNNNNNNNNNNNNNNNNNNNNNNNNNNNNNNNNNNNNNNNNNACAUGGUAGCUAUUUCAGCAAAGGUCGUGGUGGCUAAAAUCAUGGAGGCGCUUGACGCGGGGGACGUGGUCGCGGAGGACGAGGAGGCAUUUAUAAUAAAUCAAAUGUUGAGUGUUAUAAUUGCCAUAAACGUGGCCAUUAUGCAAAUAAGUGCAGAUCAAAAGGUGAUAAUCAUGCUUCCAAUUGUGCUCAAGAAGAUAGUAAUCACGAACAAGAUGAAGAGGAUCAUGAAGUAUUAAUGACAACCACAUCAAAUGAAACUCCAAACAAUCAGACUUGGUAUUUGGAUACAGGUUGCACGAAUCAUAUGUGUGGUCAGAAGGAGCUGUUUGCAGAUUUGGAUGACUCAUUUCGAACAAAAGUGAAAUUCGGUGAUGACAGGUUCGUUCCGGUGAUUGGAAAAUGGUGAAUUCUUAUUACAUUAAAGAAUGGUGAUCACAGGUACAUUUAUGAUGUUUUCUAUGUACCUGACAUGAAAAGUAAUCUGUUGAGUGUGGGACAACUGGCUGAAAAGGGUUACGUGAUGCACAUAGUUGAAAAUAAAUUCUCAAUUUUUGAUAGGUAAUUUGAUUCUUAAAACCUUUUUAUCAAAAAACCGCAUGUUUCCAGUAGAUAUUCAUAUGGGUGAUUUAAAGUGCUUGAAUGUAAUAAUGAAUAAUGAAUCGUGGUUAUGACAUUUACGCUUUGGGCACUUAAAUUUUCAGAGUUUGGAAAAUCUUUCCAAAAGAAAUUUAGUGAAUGGUUUACCCCAUAUUUAUCACCCUAAUCAAUUGUGUGAGGCUUGCAUCUUUGGAAAGAAUCACAGGAUACCAUUUGUUAAGGAGUCUUGGCGUGCAAAAUUUCCUUUGGAGCUUGUUCAUACAGAUGUUUGUGGCCCGAUGAACAUAUCAUCAGUUGGAGGUAAUAAGUAUUUUUUAACCUUUAUUGAUGAUUUUUCAAGGAAAACCUGGAUUUAUGUAUUGAAAAGCAAGGAUGAGGUAUUCCACUGCUUUAAAAUAUUUAAAGCAUUUGUUGAAAGAGAGAGUGNNNNNNNNNNNNNNNNNNNNNNNNNNNNNNNNNNNNNNNNNNNNNNNNNNNNNNNNNNNNNNNNNNNNNNNNNNNNNNNNNNNNNNNNNNNNNNNNNNNNUGAUGGAGCGACCAAGAAGGCAACAACGACAACCUGUACACCUUCAAGAUUGUGAAGUAAAUCUUGAUGGUGAAGUUGAUGACAAUGGAGAUUUAGUUCACUUUGCUUUUCUUGCAGAAUCAGAACCUGUGAGACUUGCCGAUGCCAUUCAACACCCGAAAUGGCAAAAGGCUAUGAAUGAAGAAUUGAUGGCGAUUGAGAAAAACAAUGUCAUGACUCAAAUUGGGAAGGUUGUUCCAAAUCAGAAUUAAGGGAGGAUGUUGGUUAUUAAUUCAUAUUUUAUUAUUAUUAAUUCAGAUUUUAUUACCCUUAAACUAUUUUACCGUUAUAUUGCAUUAAUGGUCAAUUUACAGGCCUGUUAGUAUUCCUAUUUUAUAGCUUCCAGUAAUUGUGAUUUUAUUAUAUAUAUGAUUGAGUAAAUCAAAAUGAAUAACUUUAGUUUUGUAAUUUUUUGCAAUUACGUUCAAUCGGUUGCUAUAACCUUUUGCCUUCUCUUAUUUCCUUCAAUUAGUUCCUACACACUCACCAUUUAACGUUUUGUAUAAAGUGACGUUUUAUGUGUAUAAUUAAAAUUGUCGUAAUUUAUUUGAUCGGAAAACGAUUUCAGUGAAAAAACAACACAUAAACAUCACUAUAUACUAUACAAUAUGAUGUUUUUAACUAUCAUUAUUUUAAGAAAAAUUUGAAAAACAAUACUUAAGUUUCAAUAUACGUAAAUUGAAUACUAAAUAAAUAGAAUUCAGUCACCAAUUUAUAAUCUCAUUAUUUAAUAAAUUUGUUUUCAUAAUUAAACAACUAAACAAAUUUAUAAUACCAUUUAAUUAAAUCUAUUUUCACAAUAAAAAAAUUAAAUACUACUCAUAGUUAUAAUAAACAUUCAUUUAUUGCAUUGAAAACUGAACACAAAAUUAAUAGUUGUUCAAAAGUACACCAAGAUAAAUACACAAAAUAUUUUUAAAUAUGAUAACAUCUUAUUAGACUAUUACAAUCAUCUUCCUUAAUAUUUACUUCCACCACUUGAUUCUAUUAUUUUGUUGGGUGAUAAAGCACAAUUUCCAACCUAAGGUGCCUACAUCUAAUGCUUAAAAUAGAUAAAAAAUAAUUUCAGAUUAUUCAUUUUCAAUUUUUAUAAUUAUAAAAUAAAAGAAGACAUUAAUAAUAAAUAUUUAAGUAUAUUAAGUUAUACCUCAUUCCAAUUGACAUAAUUUUAGGUUAUUUGAAAAACCUUUCUUUAACAUCAUUAAAAGUUCUAGAUGUAUUAUAAACUAGAGAGUUAUAAAAAUAAAGAAAUGUAUUUUUCUAUUCAAGAAUAACAAUUAAAUAUACAAUCAUUGUAAUUUUGAAUUUCUUUACAGUUUUUAUUAAAAAAAAUUACAAUUGCAAUUACAACUACAACUAAUUUAUUUUAUUGUUAUCCUUAAUGGGAUGUUUUUUCUUACUCUUGAAAGAAAUAAAAUAAUGUAUAUAUUUGUAGUAGGCAAAGCUGUAGUAGGCAAAUAUAGGUUUCAAUAUUUUUCCAUCUUCUAGCCUGAAACAAUCUCAAAUUAUAGAAAAGCUUAGCAUUUAGUUUGCUAAAUGUAGACAACACUAAUAAUUAGCAAGAUAUUGAUUCUAAUUAUCUAGUGGUCUGUUGGAGAGAGUUCAUAAAAUUUAGUUAAAGCGAGAUUGUAGAUAAUCUGCUGAAAAGAGUUAUUUAUGUAUUUUUCAUUAAUUUCUCAUAGAAAUUAAUAGUAAACGCUCUCUCAACCAUUUAAACAAAUGUCAUUUUAAUGUACAAUCAACAAACCAAUGUCAAUGAAGUCUAUGUUUCGUUAAAGCCACGUAAGAUUUUACUUGAGUGAAUGAAUAUUAUGGUAAAGAAUACUUUGUUUUAGAUGAUUAAGGCAAGUAAAAUAAGAAUAUGGAAUGUGUGUACGGUAAGUUCGUUAAUUUAAGAUUUAUUCAUAAAGAAUCAUUUCAUUGAUAUAAUAGGUUUCUAUUUGUUCUUAGAUUUUUUUAUGAAUAAAUAUAGUCUACUCAUAUAUUGUUUUUGUUAACACAUGAAUUUUAAUAUAGUUUUUUAUUUUUAUUUUUUAUUUUUUUUAAUAAUAUAUUUUUUCAUGUGAUGACACUCACAUAUUAUUGCUAUUACUUGAGGUGUCAACCUAACUGAAAUUUCAAGUUAUAUAAUGAUGCUUGACAUGAAAGUUUUUUAUAAAAAAAAAAUAAAAAAAUUAUAUUUGGUUCAUACAUAUACAUUAUAUACAUUUGAUCCAUUUAGAUAGUAACGUUCUAAUGAAAAAGUAAAUUUAAUAUACUUAAACAAAUAUCAAUAUAUUUGGUUGUUGGAGUUGCUAAAUAUAAUGUGUUUCUUUUUCCUAUGCCACAAGAAAAUUUUGUCUUUAACAUUGGUAUACAUAUCUUAGACCAAAUUGACAAAUGGUUACCGAAAUUGAAAAAUAUUUUUUUAGUAAAAUAUGUUUUUCGUCAUUCUAAAUUUUUUUAAACAGUUUUUCUUUCAAUUAUUUUGACUUAUUUUCAUACAUCUGUUUGGAAUUUGAGUUUUGGUUCUGGAGGUAACAUUUAAUAGCGUUUAUUAAGCACUAUUCAAACUACUCUAAAUAUAAAAGUGGUAUAUUUUAAAAAUAAUGGAAAAAAUAUUUAGAGUGAUAAAAAUAUAAUUUUGAGAAAUAUAAAUAAAUAAUAUUUUUUUUCUGCGUUUGUUUAUUGCAACGUAGGGAUCAGAAUAAACAAAUUAAGCCAAUUUUAUGUAUGUCCACUUCUUUUACUGCAAACUAUAGCAUAUAAAAAUUCUUGUCCAGAUGAUAUUAAAAUUAAAAAAAACUGUAAAUUAAGUUGUUGUAAAGUGUGUGAACUUUAUAUAUAUCUCUUAUAAUUAAAGCAUAGGUAAAUUAAGGUGAUAAAAAUUGUAAAUAUAAUUUUAAGGAAUUAGUUUGAGAACCCAAUUAAAGAAGUAUUUCAUGACUUACUUAAAUAAAGACGAGACAUAAAUAUAUUAUAGUAAAUAAUGGAAAAAUGAUCGAAAUAAAUUUUUAUAUCCUGAUUGAGAAACAAUAUUAAUAAUGCAUUUGAUUUUUUUUGUACUUUAAAUAUUUCCAAAUUAUUCUAGGACUAAAAGUUCCACCACAUGUAGAACUGUGGCGGAAAUAUCUUUCCAUUAAUAUCGUGUGUCUUAUAUAAACACUUGAUAUGCACGUAUAUAAUUGACGCAGUCAAAUGACAAUAUACUUUGAAAUUAAUAAUUAUUGAUUUAUUUUUAUCAGUUGAACGUAGGUAUACACUAACAUUUAAUUUAAUGUGUUAAAAUUUUCACAUCCAUUAAAAAUUAGAAUAUUAAAUGAAUACAAAAUAUAAUCCAAACUCUCUAUCGAAGUUAAAUGAAUUUGAACAAAUCAUAUAACUAAUUCGACAUCAGAAUUCAUAUGUUCUUUUCAUCAGACAACAACAACCCAAGUUGUGUGGCUUCUUCCUCAUCAUCAACUUAUAAUUUCUAACCUCUCUGGUACGCUUGUUAUUACAAGGCUAUUUUUUUUUUUUCAAAUUCCAUAUAUUAUGUAUUGUAAAACACAUAAAUUCUUUUAGGUGAAACUUAUGUGUCAACUUUCAAUCAAUAUUCACUGUCGGUCAUUAAUUCAAAUUUUAUUUACUAAAUUAGAGUUUGAAUUAGUCUUGAAUUGUUGUCCUAGUUUACAGUCAGUAUUACGUUAGUGGUUUUGAAAGUGUACAAGGCUAUUAGUAUUGUGUUAGUGUUUAGUUAUUACUUAUAUUUUAUAGUUUUUGGUAGUUGUAAUUUUAUUUUUAUAUAUUGUCGAAGUAAAUCAACAAAAUGCAUGCAGUAUAUUGUCUUCUAUUAUUUCUUUCAAACAGUUUCUACAAUUGUUAUCAAAUCCAGAUUGUCUGUUAUCAUGAAAUCUACCUAAUUAUUGGUCCCUAUCUUUGAUUGAAAAAAAUUACAAUCGAUGAUGCGUGCAGAUGAGAGUUUUGUUCGAUUAUCAUGAGUUAUGGGAUGUCAUUGAGAAUGGAGUGUCUGCAUUAGCUGCUAAUGCAACUGAGACGCAAUGAGUAGCGCAUCGUGACCAGAAGAAGAAGGACAAUAAGACUUUGUGUCUCAUCUAUCAAGGGAUGAAUGACGAAACCUUUGAGCAGAUAAAAGGAGCAACAACUGCAAGUGAAGCUUAGACCAUUUUGUUAACCAAUUAUAAAGGCGAUGACAAGAUCAAGAGGGUGUGCCUUCAAACUUUAAGACGCCAAUAUGAACUGCGGUAGAUGGAAACCACAAAGACUGUUGAUGUUUAUAUCAAUAGAGUUCUUGCCUUAACGAAUGAGAUGAAGACCAAUAGUGAAACACAUUCGGAGCAGGCAAAGGUGGAGAAGAUUUUGAGGUCUUUAACUCCCAUAUUUGAACAUGUUGCCGCAAUUGAAAAGGCCAAUGCCCUUUUAACAAUGACAGUAAGGUUAUUGUCCGGUUCCCUACGAACGUAUGAGUAGUGGAUGAAUGACAAUAAGAUUGAAAAACCAAUUGAACAGGCUUUACAAGCACAAUCCUCAAUUCCAAGCCUCAAUUGGUAACUCCUAUCAUAAGCACGGUAGUUCACAAGGUAGAGGACGUGGACGUGGUGGUAGCUAUUCCAAUAAAGGUUGUGGUGGCCAGAACCAUGGAGGUGCUGAGCAAAACAACACUGGUUCCAAUCACAAUCUGAGUUCAAAUAACUCUUGGCGCGAAGGACGUGGUCGCGGAGGACGUAGGGACAUGUAUAAUAAAUCAAAUGUGUAAUGUUAUAACUACCAUAAGCGCGACCAUUAUGCAAAUGAAUGUAGAUCAAAAGGUGAUAAUCAUGCUGUCAAUUGUGCUAAAGAAGACUAUAAUCACGAACAAGAUCAAGAGGAUCAUGCAUUACUAAUGGUAGCCAUAUCAAAUGAAACUCCAAACAAUCAGACGUGGUAUUUAGAUACAGGUUGCAAGAAUCAUAUGUGUGGUCAGAAGGAGCUGUUUGCAUAUUUGGAUGACUCAUUUCGCACAAAAGUGAAAUUCGGUGAUGGCAGAUUCGUUUCGGUGACUGGAAAAGGGCAGAUUCUUAUCACAUUGAAGAAUAGUGAUCACAGGUAUAUCUAUGAUGUUUUCUAUACCUGAUAUGAGAAGUAAUCUAUUGAGUAUGAGACAGUUUGCCGAAAAGGGUUACGUGAUGCACAUAGUUGAAAAUCAAUUCUCAAUUUUUUAUAAAGAAGGUAGCUUGAUUCUUAAAUUUUUUUUAUAAAAAAAUCGCAUGUUUCUAGUAUAUUUUAAUAUGGGUGAUUUCAAGUGCUUGAAUGCAAUAAUGAAUAAUGAAUCGUGGUUAUGACAUUUACGUUUUGGCCACUUAAAUUUUCAGAGUUUGGAAAAAUCUCUCCAAAUUGGUUUACCCCAUAUUCAUUACUCUGAUCAAUUGUGUGAGGCUUGCAUUUUUGGAAAGAAUCACAGGAUACCAUUUGUUAAAGAGUCUUGGCGUGCGAAAUUUCCUUUGCGCUUGAUCAUACAGAUGUUUGUGGUUUGAUGAACAUAUCAUCAAUUGAAGGUAAUUCGUAUUUUCUAACCUUUAUUGAUGAUUUUUCAAGGAAAACCUUUGAAAAACAAUGAUGAGGUAUUCCACUACUUUAAAAUAUUUAAAGCAUUUGUUGAAAGACAUAGUGGCAGACUAAUUAAGAUGGUGCGUAGUGAUGGAGGGGUGAGUACAAGUCUAAUGAGUUCAAAAGACAUUGUGAAGAACUUGGGUUGCAGCAUAACAUAACAUGUCCCAACACUCCUCAACACAACGGAGUAGCCGAGAGAAAGAAUAGAACAAUCAUGGAUAUGGCGAGGAGCAUGCUUAAAGCGAAAGGUAUGCCAAAUUAUUUUUGGGCUGAAGCUAUAACAUGUGAGGUAUAUUUGAUAAACAUAUCACCCAUUUGGAGUGUUCCUAACACAACUCCGAUUGAGGCAUGGAGCGGAUUCAAACCCAAUGUGCAACACUUGAAGGUAUUUGGGUCAAUUACUUAUGCUCAUGUCCCCAAGGCAACAAGAUCGAAGUUGGAUGAUAAGGCAAUGUAGAUCACUUUCAUUGGAUAUAAGCAUGGGGGAUACAAACUGUACAAUCCAAUGACAAAGAAUGUGAUUGUUAGCCGUGAUAUUACAUUUGCCGAAGAUGAGGAAUGGCAAUGGAAUGCAGCAGUUGAAAUGGAUUCGAAAAAACGAUAUAUUUACAUUUUGAACGAUGAUGUGAAAGAUGGAGUAACUCUUGAAGCACCUGUCGUUCAACCUGAAGUUGUAAUUCAACUUGAAGUUGCAGCUCCAAUUGCAACUACGAUGGAGCGACGAAGAAGGCAACAACGACAACCUGUACUCCUUCAAGAUUACGAAGUAAAUCUUGAUGAUGAAGUUGAUGACAAUGGAGAAUUGAUUCACUUUGCUUUACUUGCAGAUUUAGAACCCGUGAGACUCGCAAAUGCCAUUCAAUACCCCAAAUGGCAAGAGGCUAUGAAUGAAAAAUUGAUGGCGAUUGAGAAAACAAUACAUGACAACUCACUGAUCUUCCGAAAGGACACAAAGCAAUUGAUGUGAAGUGGGUGUACAAGAUUAAAGUGAAAGCAAAUGGUGAGAUUGACAGAUACAAGGCAAGGUUGGUAGCAAAAGGAUUUGAGCAAAGAGAAGGCUAUGAUUACGAAGAAAUAUCUUCUCCUAUAGCUCGAAUGGAAAUAGUGAGAUUAAUCAUUGCUUUGGUUGCACAAAGGCAAUGGAAAAUUCACCAAAUGGAUGUCAAGUAUGCGUUUCUAAACGACCUACUUGAUGAAGAGGUUUAUGUAAAGCAGUCGUCGGGUUUCAUACAAUCCGGCAAAGAGGAGAAGUUGUACAGACUAACUAAGGCUUUAUAUGGUCUUAAACAGACACCAAGAGCUUAGAACAAAAGGAUUGAUUCAUUUUUCUUCAUGCCACUGGAUUAAAAAAAUGUGCAUCAGAUCAUGGUCUUUAUGUAAAGACUAAUGAUUAUGGAGAUUUGCUAAUUUUAUAUCUCUAUAUUGAUGAUGUGAUUUUUACAGUAAGUAAUCUCAAAAUGAUUGGUGACUUCAAGCAUAUCAUGAUGAAGGAAUUUGAGAUGUCUGAUCUCGGUCUUAUGUCCUACUUUUUGGACAUUGAAGUCAUCCAAGGAGACGAUAAAAUCUUUAUUCAUCAGAGAAAAUUUGCUGCUGAGUUUUUAAAGAAGUUUAAGAUGGAGGAUUCAAACUCAGUUAAGACUCCAAUUGAAACUGGAAUUCAGCUUACGAAGGAAGGUGACUCACUUGUACUAGACUCGACUUAUGUUAUGCUGUGGGAUUGGUUCGUCGGUACAUGGAGUCACCUCGACGGGUUCAUUUACAAGUUGUAAAUAGAAUUAUGCGCUACAUCAAAGGUACUACAACUCUUGGUCUAUUUUACUUUUCAUCUAAGAAGAUUGAGAUUGUCGAAUACUCAGAAAAUGAUUGGGGUAGAGAUUGAGACGAGAGGAAGAGCACGAGUGGUCAUUGUUUUAUGCUCGGAAAAACUGUUUGUUUGUGGUCAUCAAAAAAACAGUCAAUUAUUGCAUUAUCCACUUGUGAAGCUGAGCAUGUAACAGCAGCAACAAGUGCUUGUAAAUCAAUUUGGCUCAACAAUAUUAUGACUCAAAUUGGUAUUAAUCUCGAUGUUCCAAUCAAUAUUUAUUUUAACAAUGUCUCUGCAAUUAAUCUAGCAAAAAAUCCGGUUUUUCAUCAAAGAAGUAAACACAUUGAUUUUCGAUAUCACUUCCUGCGAGACCAAGUUAGGAAGAACAAAUUAGAAUACUGCAGAUCAGAAGAUCAGAUAAUAGAUAUUCUAACUAUGCCAUUGAAGAUCGAUGCUUUCAUCAAGUCAAGAGAUCUGUUGGGCAUGAAGGUUGUUGGUCAUUAAUUCAAAUUUUAUUUUUACUAAAUUAGAGUUUAAAUUAGUCUUGAAUUGUUGUCCUAGUUUACCGUUAGUAUUGCGUUAGUGAUCUAGUGGUUUUGAAAGUGUAGUCCUAGUUUAUAAGGUUGUUAGUAUUGUGUUAGUGUUUAAUUAUUGCUCCUAUUUUGUAGCUUCUGAUAGUUGUAAAUUUUUUUUUUAUAUAUUGUAAAAGUAAAUCAACAAAAUGUAUGAGUUCAGUACUAUAUUGCCUUCUAUUAUUUCUUUCCAAUAGUUUCUAUACUUUCUACCAAAUAAUCUGUGAUAAAUUCCCUUUUGUACAAAAAGGAAAACAAUUUGAUGUAAAUAGUCGAAAAUUGAUCAAAGAUGGUUCUAUUCUUGAAAACCUAAAUUUAUAAGAAAAUUGACAUAUUAAAAAGAAAAUUCAGUGUAGAUUAGAAUUUAUGUUAUUAUUUUAAAGUGUCAAUAAAAAUAUUGUUGUAUCGAUGAGCCUAUCAUCUGCUUAAGACUAAGGUUGUGUACUCAUAGGUCAAGGUUCAACCCUUGCCAUCAGAAAUAUUAUCUAAACUGAAAGAGUUAUUAGGGUUAUUUGGUUUCAACGAGUGAUUUACGAGAAGAAAGAAACUUUCACAAAUCAAAUAAUAAAAAAUUAAUAAAUUUUUUAGAAAAAAGAUUAAACCUUAUUUUUUCACAAAUAUGCAAAAUUUUGUGGAAAAUCAUGGUUAAAAUAUAUAUUAUAUUAAAUAUAUAUUUUAUAAUUAUUAUAUUAAAUAUACAUUAUUAUUUCCUUUAUAUUCAUAUUCAUAUUUAUAUUUAUAUUAUAAUAAAAUAAGUAUAAUUAACUAUGUAAUAUAAUAUAAAUAAUAAUAAUUAUUAAAAUAUUAAUAAAUAUAUAUAAAAUGAUAAUUAAAAUAAAAUACUAAUAAUAAAUUUAUGAAAUAACAACUAUAAUAAAAUAAUUAAAAAAGUUAUAAAUAAUAAAUAAUAAUUAUAAAAAUAAAUAAUAGUAAUAAUAGUAAAAUUAAAAUUAUUAAUUAAUUAUAAAAUUAUUAUCUUUUAUUUAGUUAAAAUUAAUUUAUAUUAAUAUAAUUAAAUUCAUUAUUAUCUAUAAAUCUAUAAAUAUAUAUAUAUAUAUAUAUUAUUUUAUAACUUUUAAAAAUUUAUUAUAUCUAUGAAAUCACUCACAAAAUUUUAUAAAUUUUUUCUUAACUUUUCACUUUUAUUUUACUUAAUCCAAACAAUCUGACUUUAUCUUUAAAUUCACUUUUUCAAAUCUACAGGGGAGUUCUCUGAAGAAGAAAUUAGGACUGCGGUUUGGAAUUGUGAAAGUUCUAAGAGCCAUGACCCUGAUGGAUUUAAUUUUGGUUUCAUAAAGUUUUGUUGGGAAAUUUUAAGGAUGGAUGUGAUGUCAGCGGUGAAGGAUUUUGCGACAAAGAGCCAUUGGCCUAGAGGUUCAAAUGCUUCCUUCCUUUGUCUUGUUCCAAAAGUUGAAAAUCCUUUGCAGCUUGGUGAGUUUAGGCAUAUUUCUUUGAUAGGAUGUUUGUAUAAAAUUAUCUCAAAAGCGUUGUCUCUACGUUUGAAAAAGGUGAUUAGCAAAGUGAUUGAUGUUAGACAGUCUGCUUUUCUUGAAGGUAGGGGUUUGUUGGACAGUGUGCUGGUAGCGAAUGAGGUGCUGGAAGAAUAUAAAAGGAAAAAGAAGAGUUGUGUGUUCUUCAAAGUUGACUAUGAAAAAGCAUAUGACUCGGUUAGCUGGGAGUUCCUAUAUUAUAUGUUGGAAAGAUUGGGUUUUUGUGCUCAAUGGAUUCGAUGGAUAAAGUGUUGUUUAGAAUCUGCUUCAGUCUCUGUAUUAGUGAAUGGCAGUCCAACUGGGGAAUUUACUCCUCGGAGGGGACUUCGUCAAGGUGACCCGCUUGCUCCGUUCCUCUUCCUUAUAGUUGCAGAAGGGUUGGCUGGGGUGUCUAGGAUGGCUGAAGAGAAGAAUUUGAUUGAUAGUCUGGAGGUUGGAAGAGAUAAGGUGAAGGUUAGUAUGUUACAAUAUGCUGACGAUACAUUAUUCUUUUGCGAAGCGAAUACCAAAAGUGUUUUUAAUAUUAAGGCUAUCUUGCUUUGCUUUGAGCUCGCUUCUGGGCUUAAGGUGAAUUUUUUAAAAAGCAGUAUUGGCGGGAUGGGGUUGGAUCAAUGUUCGCUUCAGCGUUUUGCAGCUACUCUUAACUGUAAGGUGAUGGUAACUCCUUUUGUCUAUUUAGGGUUACCGGUAGGAGGUUGCCAUAAGCGCAGUGUUUUUUGGAACGGGGUGUUAGAGAGAGUUCAGGGCAAGCUGUCGAGGUGGAAAGGCAGGUGUUUGUCGAUGGCUGGGAGGAUCUGUUUGAUUAAUUCAGUCCUCUCCUCAGUUCUGUUAUUCUUUAUGUCCCUAUUCAAACUGCCAUCUGGGGUGGCUGACAAGUUAGUUCGGAUCCAAAGAAAUUUCCUUUGGGGGUGGGGUUCUGACAGAAGGAAGAUUGCUUGGGCCUCUUGGAAUAAGGUUUGUGAGCCUCGGGACUACGGGGGUCUUGGAAUCAUUGACUUAAAGACUUUUAACCUGGCCCUGCUAGGCAAGUGGAUUUGGAGGUGGGGGUCGGCCAAGGGAGGUUUGUGGAAAGAGAUUCUUGACUCUAAAUAUGGUGGAUGGAGGAAUUUGAGAGCGGAAGGUAAACCCUGCAGGGGUUCUCUUUNNNNNNNNNNNNNNNNNNNNNNNNNNNNNNNNNNNNNNNNNNNNNNNNNNNNNNNNNNNNNNNNNNNNNNNNNNNNNNNNNNNNNNNNNNNNNNNNNNNNNNNNNNNNNNNNNNNNNNNNNNNNNNNNNNNNNNNNNNNNNNNNNNNNNNNNNNNNNNNNNNNNNNNNNNNNNNNNNNNNNNNNNNNNNNNNNNNNNNNNNACUGGUUUAAUGGUGUUUGGAUUUGGCAUUUGUGCUGGCGUAGAUCCCUCUUUGACUGGGAGAAGUUGUUGGAGGAGCAGUUGAGUCAGUUGCAGCAAGGGGUGAAGAUGGAUGUGGGAGGGGUGGAUAGCUGGGUCUGGAAGGCUGAGGGGUCUCAAAGUUUUAAUGUUAACUCAGCUUAUAGCAAGGUAAGGAGGGUUAGUGAUGGGGAGUCCUCUCCGACCUACUGUAGGUUGUGGAGGUGUAAAGCCUUGCCUUCUGCUGUAUUCUUGGCCUGGAGAGUUUUGGAAAAUAGGAUUGCAACUAGGGUUAAUUUGGUAAGGCGCGGGAUGGUGGUUGAAAAUCCUGUAUGUUGCUUGUGUGGGAAGGUCGAUGAGUCGUCGAGUCACUUGUUCGCCGUUUGUGACUUUGCUUGGAGGGUCUGGUGCCUUUACUUUGAGUGGCUUGGAGUGUCGUUCGUAAUCCAUUCGGAUCCAAUGCAAAAUUUUAUUCAAUUCAGGUUGAGUCAGGCAUCUGUUUCGGUUAAUGAUGUUUGGGGGGCAAUUUGGGUUGGAAUUGUGAGUGAAAUCUGGAAGCAUAGGAACUCGGUCGUCUUUAAUGGAGGAGUGGCAGAUGCGUUAGAAGUUUUUCCCUCAACACAAGUAAAGGUGUGGUCUUGGAUUGCUGCAAAGUCCUGCGAAGUUUAUUUUUCCUAUCCCUGUUGGGUUCUGGAUCCUUUGGCCUGUAUACGGCUGAUUCGGUAAAGCUAGUUAGCGCUUGGUUUGGUUGGUCUUUUGACCGACGGUUUUGGGUGUCGAGUUAGGAGUUAAAUUGUAUGUGUGUUUGUAAAAGGGUUGAACCACCCCUGAAGUGGUUCUCAUUUAUUGAUUUUUUAUUGCUGAUAAAAAAAAAAAAAAACUAAUCCAAACAAAGGAUUAUAGUUGAAUCGAUCUUGAAAAACAAACUUAGAAAUUAAAGGUAUUCGAAAAAGUUAGAUUUUUGUUAUGACCAAUAAGAAAAUAAAAGAUCUCAUUGACCAAAUCAAACCAAUAAAGGAAGCAUUUUCAAAACUUUUCUUACUUACAAAAAAGCUUUUAAAAAUUAUUUUAUUUUAUAUUUUUUUUCUUCUUUUCCAUUCAUUUUUGACAAAACCAAAAAAAAAUUUCCAGAACACCAUCCCAUAAUUUGAUCACCAUAUAAUUUAUUUUGGAUGAGCAUUCGCUAAAUUCAAAAAUUGAAAGUCGAAAUUAUAUUUUUGAGAAACCAAAUUUUGAUGACAUAUGGAAUGACCUUCUUCCACCCUUGGUCAUUAUCGAAAAAAAUAUCUCCAAAAUUCGGAGAAAUUUUCUUUUGAAAAUAAACCAAAAUCUCACCAUGAUCAUAAAUCAGUGCGCUACUUGGAGAAAAAAAGUCCGGUUGAGUCACUGCACACCAAUUCCCACGCUCAAGCUUUUCCACUAAAAUUGUUUGAGAAAUUGAACCACUAAAUCAAAUAGCCAAAUCACGUAAUCACCAAAUUUUCUACUAAUUCACUAAAUUGGUUAAUAACACAAGCAAAUACUGUAUUGGUUUUCAACCAAUUUGAACAAUCAACACACCAUAUUUUUUCACCAAACCUGUACAGUAAAACAACAACACAAACAUAUUUUGUUUCCUGCUCCAAAAUUUGAAUCAUAAAAUGCAGUGAAUCAUCACACAAAAUAAUUUUUUACAAAAACAUUAUCUGCAGCUUAAACCAAUACACAAAUUGCUUCAAAAACUCCACCACAAAAUCAACGCGACUUUUUACAAAUCACUAAUUCAGGAACAUAAUAACUAAACUUCUCUAUUUUUCGAAAAUUUCACAGGAUUGAACAAUUCCUAUUGGAAUUCGCACUCAAAUGGAACUCUAGUGUAGAAUUAACGCACCUCUUACUCAGCUGUCAACGUCACUGGAAUUUCACCGUUUCCAACUUCAAUUUGCUUGAGUAAUUUUUCGUUCGCACAAUACAAAUUGCUUCAAAUUCAGUUUACAAGAUUGGAUCAGAACCACCGAAAGUAAAUCACCAUUCCAAUAAUAUUCUCCGUUCACUGAUUUUAGGUCACCUUAAACUGCUAUUUCCGUUCACCGAUUCCGUUUGUCGGAAUCCGCAAGAGUUCUAUUCACAAAUCGCAAAUAAAGAAUUGCACCGAUGCGCGCCAAUGAAUUCAUUUUUGUUUCUGCCUUUUCAAUAUCGUGCCAAGAACUCCAGCAAAAUUGAUGAACACAAUGGGAAAACGUAAACCGAAAAGUAAUCAACACCAUUGUAGGGCAGUGGUCUCGAACUUGAGAAGAAGAAUGUCACCCAUAAAUUUAUAUGAUGUCAACUUCAAAGCAAUUGACCCAAUGUAGGAUGAUCUUAUGAUUAUCACGUUAGAAGUAGAGAACUUUACACUCAUGAAAAUCCUGGUGUAUCAGGGAAGCUCACUACACAUUUUCUACUGGAAAACCUUUAAAAAGUUGCAAAUCCCAGAUGUUGACAUCCAAAGCUUAUGGUGAUGAGAUAGUGUGAUUAUUGGGAGCGAGUAUAAAUAUGAAAGGUUACAUUGACUUGUUUUCUAAUUUGGGAGAAAGAAGUUUGAAAAGUCAGACUAUCAAGAUCUAAUACUUGAUAAUCGAUACAAAUACCUCAUACAACAUUCUCCUGAGAAGAUUAUCCUUAAAUAACCUAGAAGCUAUAGUGUCAACAUCAAACUUGACAAUGAGGUUCCGUUAUGCAUCCAGAGACAUCAUCACGAUCCAUGUCAACUAAAAAACCGCGAGAGAAUGCUAUGUUAUCAUCUUGAGGAUCACACCCUUAUAUCCUAGUUGAGAUUGCCAAACGACAAAUGAUUGACCUCAAUCCAUAAUAAAUGAUGAUGUAAAGGUCAAGCUUGACAAAGACACAAUCACCAUCUGAUUAAGGCACAAAGGGCAAGAAACAAGGAUAAAGACCAACCUCGUAGAAUCUGAGGCCAAGAUGAUAUAUUGGGUCCCCUUUCAAAAUGUUAACCUAUUCACAUGGACAGUCGAAAACAUGUCAGGGGUAGACCCUAAGGUGAUCUUGCACAAGUUAUUCGUGUAUAAGGAAGCUCACACAAGGUUGCAAAAGAAGACAAAAUUAGGGGAUUAGAAGCGGAAAGUUGCCAAAGAGGAGAUUGAUAAGCUUAUCAAUGUUAGAUUUAUCUAGGAAGCACGAUACACAACAUGGUUAGAAAACAUAAUUAUGGUAAAAAAAGUUAGUGAAAAAUUAAGAAUUUAUACAUACUAUAUGGACAUCAAUAAGACAUAUCCUAAAGAUGUUUGUCCCUUACAAAGUAUGAACUGCAAGAUAAAAGGUCCUCAAUUUUCUAAAUGCCUACUCACAAUAUAACCAAAUAUGAAUACACUCAAAAGAUGGGAAGAAGACGAUUUCUAUGACCAACAACACUAACUGUUUUUCUACAAGUUUGAUUCAACUUUCUAUGAACAAACGACAACAAUUUCUCAAAAAAAACUUAUGCACCCGAAAUGGAUGUUCUUGCAACUCUAACAUCUAAUGCAAAACUAAUAGUAAUGUUGUAACACACAACUAUUGAAACAAAGACUUAUUCCUAAACAUGUUUAUGAUAUUAGUCGCAAAGAUAUCUACAACACUACACUAGUUAAUAAAAAAAAUAAAAUAAAAUAUAUAUAUAUAUAUAUAUUUAUUUAUCUACGAAAGAAAAACUCAAUUUAUCUACGGAAGAAAUCUGUAAGUAACAGUCAAAAUUCGUAGGUAAAUAAGCAUUACCUACGGAAAAAAAAUCUGUAUGUAAUGUGGGCGUAGAUAAUUCAACAUCUUUUAUUAUUAAAAUUUCAAUUAUUAUUUGAUUUUUUAAUUUUUUUUUAAUUAUUAUUUACAUAUAUUAUUUAAUGCCUAUUUUUAUGAUUAUUAUUAACAAUUAUUAUAUAUGUUUUGACAAUUAUUAUUAAAAGUUAUAAGUAAACUAUAACAGGUGAGACUCGAAACCAAGUCCCUUGAAAAAUAACGAAAAAAACUUUAAUUAUUACACCAAACAAGUUUUGUUGUCAUGUUAUCAUUAUUAUUAAUAUUAUAAUAUUAAUAAUAUAUAUACUUAUUAGUUAUGAUUAUUAUUAUUUAUGAAUAUUAGUUAUGAUUUUAUAAUUAUGCAUAUGAUAAUAAUAUUUUUAAUAUUAUAUAUAUAAUUAUUAUGAUAAUAGUUGGUAGGUAAUAGAGAUCCGUGAGUAAUAGUUGGUAGGUAAUAAAUAUUCGUGGGUAAAGUUCGUAGGUAAUAAGAUCUGUGGGUAAUAAUAGUUGGUAGGUAAUGCUAAAUUUACUUACGGAUUCAGAUUUGUAGAUAAUGUUGAAUUUACAUACGAAUUAAAAUCUGUAGAUAAUAUGAUUUUUUUUGUAAUGACACCAAUUGUUAUUUAUUCAAGCUUUAUUAGUGUAGGUUUAAAGAGUUAUUUACAACCGGAUGAAAAGACUUAUUUUGAAUGUGGCGAGGAAUUGGAUUCAAGGAGGGAUCAUAACAAGACAAUCAACAUGUUGGGAGAAAGUUUCAAUUAAAAUGCAAGAAGAAUUACCAAUUUGUCAUGGAUGUAGCCUCGGACAAACAAUAUUUAAUGGUACGGUAUUUUAUAAAUGAAUAAUAUUUAAUGUUCUAUUAAUUUAUUAAUUUAUGUUGAUAAAGUCAAUAAUAUACAUUACCAUAUACUUGAAUAUUUUAAUUAUAUUCAAGUGUUAUUAAUAAACAUAUUAUGAAUUGAAUAGGAAAAAUAUUUCAAUUCAGUAACCAAUUGGAGUGCAUUUAUGCAUACUUUUCGAUUCAUGUUUAGCCUAUAGUGAAUAUGUGAAUUUGAGAGGCUAGUUCAUAGAUUCAACUUUUGUAGAUGUAUGACUAAUUUCUUAACCUAAAAGUUGUUAAUUAUCUAAAUCUUAUUCCACUUUAUGUAUACUUGUAACUAACAAUUUUAUGAGAUUUUUUAUUAACAAUAAAAAAUAUUUAAAUUAAAUAAAUUAUUUAGUGAUGCAAUCCAUAUACAAAACUUCACUUAUAAAAUUGUCUUUGUAAAAUACCUAUUCAAACAAAAUGCAUAUGGCUCUCACAUAAGAACCCAAAAUAAAACUUAGGACAACCCACAACCAUUAUUGGAGCCUUGCCUAUAUGCUACAUAUUCAACAUACCACAGUGGUAAGCAACAGUAGAAAAAAUAAGACUAUAAGGUCUUAGUCCUAAGCAUAAAUGUGGCUCUGUAUAUAGAUUUUACAUAAGAUUUCAAAUAGAUUUACAAGUUUUAAUUUAUUAAAAUAUAUAAAUCAUUUGAAUCAAAUUAAAGUUGACUAAAUCUAUAAUAAUAAUUUACGUCGAUCUAAAUUUUGAAAACUAAAUUCAUGUUUACAAAAUACUUAAUAUUAGAAAAAUAUAAAUCAUGAUGCCUUAAAAGCAUUUUUUUUUGUAUUUAAUCAAUUGUCUAAACCAAUAUUAAUCAAAUAAAUUAUCAACUAUUAAUGAAAUAUUUAGAACAGAUAAAUAAUAAUUUUGUAAACAUAUUUAAUUAAAUCAAAUCAAUAUAACAUGUUUAAAAUAUAAAUUGUUUGAAUGUACAUGACAAUGUUUGUAAUUAUUAUAUAUAUUUUUUACAAAUACACAGAAAUGUGACGACUCAUAUUGAUUUUUUUAAAACUAAAAAUUAAUAACAAAUAUAUUAAGAAUUACAAUAUAAAAAAUUUAAGUUAAAUCCAUUUACUACAAGACGAUAUUGUUAUGGCACUAAAGGAUAUAAAGGACUUUGCAUGGAUACCUAGAUGGAAACCACCAAUUGGGAAAAUGAAAAUAAACGUAGAUGGAAGCUAUGAUUUAUCACUCAGUACAUAUUGUCACAGGGAAGUCUAGAUAUAGGGAUCAAAAUUCUAUGUAGGUCUUUGGCUUUUCUUCUUGUAAUACAUCCAAAGCGGAAAUUUUGGUCAUUUUGCAUGUAAUUCAUAUGUAACAACUAUUUUAGAAUAUAAUAACAUGUCCUUGUAUUACAUAGUUCACUACAAAAUACAAAAUAAAUAAUAUAAACAAGUAAAAUAUCAUGGACAACCAAAUGUUUAGAAUAAGAAGAUGGAUACAAAUAAGCAAUGUUAUGUAUUGGAGAGUAGUAUAUACUUUACCAGUAAAUAAUUUCAACAUUGAAUAUAUCUAGCUAGAGUUGAUUGUUUGAUCCUGUGUCACUGUUUCAUCUGGAAAUAGAAUAGGUUUUGGAGGUAUUUCCAAGUCUUCAAUAUCUCCUUCAAGCAUUUCCACUACUCUAUUCAUUGAGGGUCGAUCAUUUGGUUUUAGUUGUAUACACCAUAGUGCAACUAUGAUCAUCUUCUUUGCUAUUUUAUUUUCUUCUUCUGUCACAUCUUCAAUAUCUGCAUCUUUCUCUUCCCUAAUAUGAUCAUAGAUCCAAAGGGGAAAGUAAAGUUGACUUGAGUGAUCUGCAUGAGGAUUUAGAUUCUUUCUCUUACUUGUCAUCUCCAUCAACAACAUUCCGAAGCUAUAAACAUCAGCCUUAUGGGAUAUUCCUCCAAUAUUUUUAUAAAACAAUUCAGGAGCCAUAUAUCCAAUGGUUCCUCUUGCUACAGUCAUUGUGACAAUGCUAUUAUCUAUUGGAUAUAACUUUGCCAAUCCAAAGUCAGAAACCUUAGGGAUGAAGUUUUCAUCUAGUAAGAUGUUAUGAGGUUUAAUGUCAAAAUGCAAAAUCUGCAUCUCACACCCAUGGUGGAGAUAAGCAAUCCCACGAGCCACUCCGAUUGAUAUAUUAUAUAUCUUUUCAUAGCUUAAAUGUAUAUUUCUCUCUUUUGAGAAAAUAAAUUUAUCAAGAGAUCCAUUGGGCAUGAAUUCAUAAACAAGAGCACGUUUUGAGCCACUAACACAAAAUCCAAUUAAUUGUACCACAUUUUGAUGAUGUAUUCUUCCAAUGGUUGCAACUUCACUGAUAAAAUCUUGUCCAUUUCCUUUGGAUUCGUUCAAUAUUUUGAUGGCCACAGAAGGUCCACUGCGCAACUUUGCCUUAAAAACAGAGCCAAAUCCUCCUUCACCUAACUUCUCUUUGAAACCUGCAACCAUCUUCUUGAUUUCCUUGAAUGAAUAUCUAAUAGGUGCAAAGCUAUUUUGUUCAAGGUAAUUUUCAAUAUUUUCAUACAUUGACAUAUGUCUUUUUCUCCAUUUACAUAUAAAAAUAACAAUUAAGAAUGGCAAUCCAAACAAAACUUUGUAAGCCCAUACCAUAAGAAUAAUUUGUUGGAGAUAUCCUGCAAGAAAUUUUUACUUGGGUGAUUACACAUGGUAUUGUAAAAUGAAAUAAAUUAUUUGUUAAAGUAUUUUUUGUUCAC
This 40630-nucleotide long non-coding RNA is filed under the name Phaseolus vulgaris (common bean). RNAcentral's name for it is "long non-coding RNA (PVUL_LNC004838)". The record is from RNAcentral. Lineage: Eukaryota; Viridiplantae; Streptophyta; Magnoliopsida; Fabales; Fabaceae.